GCGCAUUCCAGCACUCUCCGCCGCCUGGGCCGCCGCCGCCACCGCCACCGCAGGCGCCCCGGCCGCGACUCAGCCACAGGAAAGCGGAGAGCGCCCGAGCCGGAGCGAAGCGGAACCCCGCAGGAGACCAGGGCCCUGAACUCAGGGGCUUCGCCACUGAUUGUCCAAACGCAAUUCUUGUACGAGUCUGCGGCCAACCGAGAAUUGUGGCUGGACAUCUGUGGCUGAGCUCCGGGCGCAACAGGGGCGGGGGCCGCAGGGACGGAGCUCAGCGCGGGCGAGACCACUCGGGGCGGCGGCUGGCUGGCCCCAGCGCGAGGAUCGCGGUCCCAGCCCGCGCGCACAGGGACGCCGGUCCCUGCCACCAGCGCCGCCAUCCGCAUCCUCGUCCUUCUUCCUUCUCCUCUGCGGGUGACCAGUACCGGCCGGCAGGGUCCUCCAGUCGAUCGCGUCGUUUUUCCUCCUUUCAAAUUUCGGCCGGAACGAAGCCUGCACGCAGCGGCGGGGCCGAACGUGGUCCGCCCUCAGCCCAAGCCGCAGGAAGUCGGGGGUGAAAGAGGCCGGCCGAAUGCGCCCGCUAACUCGUUUCGCAGUUGUUCUAACUUAUCACCCCAAUACUCCCUACCUAAACAAAACAAAUCCUCAACCAACCCCUAAAUCCCAAACAAACCAACCCCUCCAGCAAGCCCUCCGGACGGACCGAGAGGCUGAGCCUCCUCCAGCCGCUGCCAGGGUCCGACGGGCAAGCGUCGCCAACGAUGCGCUCCAGCCCGGCAAUCGCCUCGGCUUUGGAAAUAGAACUUGGAAAAACGAAUCCUUUUCAUUAAAGAAAAAUCUUCGGAGAUA
Non-coding RNA from Chlorocebus sabaeus (green monkey), 846 nucleotides. The record is from RefSeq and is a predicted model, not a curated record. Lineage: Eukaryota; Metazoa; Chordata; Mammalia; Primates; Cercopithecidae.